UACGGAAGGCAGCAGUGGGGAAUAUUGCACAAUGGGCGAAAGCCUGAUGCAGCUAUGCCGCGUGUAUGAAGAAGGCCUUAGGGUUGUAAAGUACUUUCAUCGGGGAGGAAAAACAAAACUAAUAAUUUUAUUUCUUGACGUUACCCGAAAAAGAAGCACCGGCUAACUCCGUGCCAGCAGCCGCGGUAAUACGGAGGGUGCUAGCGUUAAUCAGAAUUACUGGGCGUAAAGAGCACGUAGGUGGUUUUUUUAAGUCAGAUGUGAAAUCCCUGGGCUUAACCUGGAACUGCAUUUUGAAACUGAAAUACUAGAGUAUCGUAGAGGGAGGUAGAAUUCUAGGUGUAGCGGUGAAAUGCGUAGAUAUCUGGAGGAAUACCUGUGGCGAAAGCGGCCUCCUAAACGAAUACUGACACUGAGGGUGCGAAAGCGUGGGGAGCAAACGAGGGAUUAGAUACCCGU
This 459-nucleotide ribosomal RNA is filed under the name uncultured bacterium. RNAcentral's name for it is "bacterial SSU rRNA". It matches the Rfam family "Bacterial small subunit ribosomal RNA", at positions 340 to 789 of the family's 1533-position model. The record is from RNAcentral.